GACGAACGCUGGCGGCGUGCUUAACACAUGCAAGUCGAACGGAAAGGCCCUGCUUGCAGGGUACUCGAGUGGCGAACGGGUGAGUAACACGUGGGUGAUCUGCCCUGCACUUCGGGAUAAGCUUGGGAAACUGGGUCUAAUACCGGAUAGGAACCAUCUUUAGUGUGGUGGUUGGAAAGUUUUUUCGGUGUAGGAUGAGCUCGCGGCCUUUCAGCUUGUUGGUGGGGUAAUGGCCUACCAAGGCGGCGACGGGUAGCCGGCCUGAGAGAGUGUACGGCCACAUUGGGACUGAGAUAGGGCCCAGACUCCUACGGGAGGGAGCAGUGGGGAAUAUUGCACAAUGGGCGCAAGCCUGAUGCAGCGACGCCGCGUGGGGGAUGAAGGCCUUCGGGUUGUAAGCUCCUUUCGCUAGGGACGAAGCGUUGUUGUGACGGUACCUAGAUAAGAAGCACCGGCUAACUACGUG
RNAcentral lists this ribosomal RNA (466 nucleotides) under uncultured bacterium. RNAcentral's name for it is "partial 16S ribosomal RNA". It matches the Rfam family "Bacterial small subunit ribosomal RNA", at positions 28 to 507 of the family's 1533-position model. The record is from RNAcentral.